CCUACGGGUGGCAGCAGUGAGGAAUAUUGGUCAAUGGGCGAGAGCCUGAACCAGCCAAGUCGCGUGAAGGAUGACGGCCCUACGGGUUGUAAACUUCUUUUGUCAGGGAGCAAUUGGGUCCACGCGUGGGCUUAGCGAGAGUACCUGAAGAAAACGCAUCGGCUAACUCCGUGCCAGCAGCCGCGGUAAUACGGAGGAUGCGAGCGUUAUCCGGAUUUAUUGGGUGUAAAGGGUGCGUAGAUGGCAUAGUAAGUCUUUUGUAAAAAUGCUGGGCUCAACCCAGUAGGGCAAAAGAUACUGCAAAGCUAGAGUAUGACAGAGGAAAGUGGAACUACAUGUGUAGCGGUAAAAUGCGUAAAUAUAUGUAAGAACACCAGUGGCGAAGGCGGCUUGCUGGGUCGAUACUGACAUUGAGGCACGAAAGCGUGGGGAGCAAACAGGAUUAGAUACCCGAGUAGUC
RNAcentral lists this ribosomal RNA (460 nucleotides) under uncultured bacterium. RNAcentral describes it as "partial 16S ribosomal RNA". It matches the Rfam family "Bacterial small subunit ribosomal RNA", at positions 338 to 795 of the family's 1533-position model. The record is from RNAcentral.